This 263-nucleotide long non-coding RNA is filed under the name Zostera marina. Its description in RNAcentral is "long non-coding RNA (ZMAR_LNC003834)". The record is from RNAcentral. Lineage: Eukaryota; Viridiplantae; Streptophyta; Magnoliopsida; Alismatales; Zosteraceae.
GACGAAGUACGAGUAGAAAAGAACCUCCCACAGGACAUCAGGGAGGGUCUAGAGCAACUCCUGAGGAAGAACGAAGACCUGUUCGCUAGCGAGUUGGGGGAGUUGGGCGGCGUACCCAGGACGCUGGCGGUAGCCCCGGACGCCCACCCCGUCAGGCAAAAGUUAUGCCCGCUAAGGGCGGAAAAAAGGGAGGCGUCCGAACUGGAGGUCAGGAAGCUCCUCCAAGCGGGAUUCAUUCGUCCAGUACGCUAUCCCGCCUGGCU